UGAGGAAUAUUGGUCAAUGGACGCAAGUCUGAACCAGCCAUGCCGCGUGAAGGAUGAAGGCGUUAUGCGUUGUAAACUUCUUUUAUCUGGGAAGAAACCUAAGUAUUCUUACUUAGCCGACGGUACCAGAGGAAUAAGCACCGGCUAACUCCGUGCCAGCAGCCGCGGUAAUACGGAGGGUGCAAGCGUUAUCCGGAUUUACUGGGUUUAAAGGGUGUGUAGGCGGACUUUUAAGUCAGUGGUGAAAUCUCCGGGCUCAACCCGGAAACUGCCAUUGAUACUAUUGGUCUUGAAUAUUGUGGAGGUGGGCGGAACGGGUCAUGUAGCGGUGAAAUGCUUAGAGAUGACCCGGAACACCGAUUGCGAAGGCAGCCCACUACGCAAUGAUUGACGCUGAGGCACGAAAGCGUGGGGAUCAAACAGG
This 424-nucleotide ribosomal RNA is filed under the name uncultured bacterium. RNAcentral describes it as "bacterial SSU rRNA". It matches the Rfam family "Bacterial small subunit ribosomal RNA", at positions 355 to 776 of the family's 1533-position model. The record is from RNAcentral.